GGGUGCCUGAUGCUUUCUGAGCUCAGGCAGGUGUGGUGGGUCAGAAAGCAAAAGCCCCGGAGAUGUUUCCAUCAACCGGGGCUACCACUCCAAACCUGAACAAUUUGGAUGGUAGCCUCUUCUUAGCAAGGAGGCAAUGACAUGCUUA
RNAcentral lists this antisense RNA (148 nucleotides) under Leclercia adecarboxylata. RNAcentral's name for it is "sok antitoxin (CssrC)". It matches the Rfam family "sok antitoxin (CssrC)". From Rfam's summary of the family: Also identified in Shigella as CssrC. The record is from RNAcentral. Lineage: Bacteria; Pseudomonadati; Pseudomonadota; Gammaproteobacteria; Enterobacterales; Enterobacteriaceae.